Molecule: unclassified non-coding RNA, 329 nt
Filed under: soil metagenome
Description: partial contains 5.8S ribosomal RNA, internal transcribed spacer 2, and large subunit ribosomal RNA
Rfam family: 5.8S ribosomal RNA (bases 1-120)
Source: RNAcentral
GAUGAAGAACGUAGCGAAAUGCGAUAAGUAGUGUGGAUUGCAGAAUUCAGUGAAUCAUCGAAUCUUUGAACGCACAUUGCGCCCCUUGGUAUCCCGAGGGGCAUGCCUGUUCGAGCGUCAUUUCACCACUCAAGCCUGGCUUGGUGUUGGGCGACGUCCCCUUUGGGGACGCGCCUCGAAACGCUCGGCGGCGUGGCACCGGCUUUAAGCGUAGCAGAAUCUUUCGCUUUGGAAGUCGGGGCCCCGUCUGCCGGAAGACCUACUCGCAAGGUUGACCUCGGAUCAGGCAGGGAUACCCGCUGAACUUAAGCAUAUCAAUAAGCGGAGGA